AGGGUUUGAUCAUGGCUCAGGAUGAACGCUGGCGGUAUGCUUAACACAUGCAAGUCGUACGAAGAUAAAAUUGUGCUUGCACGAUUUUAUACUUAGUGGCGGACGGGUGAGUAACACGUAAGAAUCUACCUUUUGGCGAGGGACAACCACUGGAAACGGUGGCUAAUACCUCAUAUAACUGAGAAGUGAAAGAUGAAAAUCACCAAGAGAUGAGCUUGCGUCUGAUUAGCUAGUUGGUAAGGUAAAGGCUUACCAAGGCGACGAUCAGUAGCUGGUCUGAGAGGAUGAUCAGCCACACUGGGACUGAGACACGGCCCAGACUCCUACGGGAGGCAGCAGUGAGGAAUUUUCCGCAAUGGGCGAAAGCCUGACGGAGCAAUACCGCGUGAAGGAUUAAGGCCUAUGGGUUGUAAACUUCUUUUCUCAGAGAAGAAUUUUGACGGUAUCUGAGGAAUAAGCAUCGGCUAACUCUGUGCCAGCAGCCGCGGUAAGACAGAGGAUGCAAGCGUUAUCCGGAUUAAUUGGGCGUAAAGCGUCUGUAGGUGGUUUAUCAAGUUUUUUGUCAAAGAUCGGGGCUUAACUCCGGGCAGGCAGAGAAAACUAGUAGACUUGAGUUCGGUAGGGGCAGAGGGAAUUCCCGGUGGAGCGGUGAAAUGCGUAGAGAUCGGGAGGAACACCAAAGGCGAAGGCACUCUGCUGGGCCGCAACUGACACUGAGAGACGAAAGCGAGGGUAGCAAAUG
This 742-nucleotide ribosomal RNA is filed under the name uncultured bacterium. Its description in RNAcentral is "bacterial SSU rRNA". It matches the Rfam family "Bacterial small subunit ribosomal RNA", at positions 8 to 774 of the family's 1533-position model. The record is from RNAcentral.